AUGUCCUUUCAUUCCUAUACUUCAGCUUUCCCUCGAGGAUUUGAACAUCGUGGUGUUAAGAAGGCAGAUCGCAUUCCAUUGACAGACACCGUCAAGUUGGCCAUUGCUAGAACUCUCAAAGAGAGCAAUGGUCAACUGUCAUGCGGAGUAUCAUCAUUGCGACAGAAUUUUCAAGCUGAAGAAAUUCCAUUAUGGGCAUGCAAUCACGAAACUCCUGCCAGAACCAUGUUGAUUUGGCAUGUUGCAACUGAGUAUUGUGUCAUCGCACAGUGUAAGACUGCAGAGCUAGAAACUUUGGUACUCAACCAUCAUACUGUUGCCCAACAAAUAUCAAGUUAUUGCGCAUAUUUGAUGGCGUUUGUGCCAGAACUGCUCCCGGAUCAUCCUUUGGAGACCACAAGAUUGUUUCAUGAAGUGAGGAACGAGGCGCUAAACUUGUUGCGCAAAGACAGGACGCCGUUUGAGAAACACGCAAAGAUGAAAACCUAUCACCGGCAACAUGAGACGACCUUUGCGUUGGGGAUCUGGUUAGGGAAGAAGCUUGAAGAAAUGAGAGAUGACAGUCGGUGGAAGAUACUGGCAGAUCUCUGGACUGAAAUGAUAUUGUACAUAGCUCCAUCGGACAAUGCAAAGGAUCAUAUACAGCAUCUGGCAAAUGGAGGUGAGUUACUAACACACCUGUGGGCGUUGCUCUCCCACGCUGGCAUUCUAGAGAGGGAUCAACAGAUCCAUGGCCCUGACUGA
Molecule: ribosomal RNA, 744 nt
Filed under: Triticum aestivum (bread wheat)
Lineage: Eukaryota; Viridiplantae; Streptophyta; Magnoliopsida; Poales; Poaceae
Description: partial small subunit ribosomal RNA
Source: RNAcentral